This 235-nucleotide long non-coding RNA is filed under the name Brassica rapa (field mustard). RNAcentral describes it as "long non-coding RNA (BRAP_LNC008810)". Lineage: Eukaryota; Viridiplantae; Streptophyta; Magnoliopsida; Brassicales; Brassicaceae. The record is from RNAcentral.
UCCAAAGUCAAAGUCCCCGGACAACGAAGCACCAAACGCAUCCGCAGGACGAUCCACUUCCUCGCCAUCAUCGUGAAAAUCGAUCGGGACCUCCUCGGUAUCGGGAGAAACCGGGAUGGAAUCCCAGAACCCUUGAAUCCUCUCGUCGAUCGGAGGGAUAAGCGCCUCGGCAUGGGCACGGUCACUCAUCCCACUCUUCAUCAAGCUCAUUUCCUCUUCAAACACAUAGUCGUCG